CUCUCAUGAAUAAAAUAUAAGAGCCUAAUCCCGUCCGUUCAUUCAGAGCUUUCUCGCUCAAUUGAUUCGGACAGUUUACAUUCAUCGCCACGUGCCAGCCAGGCGAAGGUGAACAAAAGCGUCCGCCGAGAGACUUCGAAACAGCUGUGAAUAUCCUCAAAGCACCGUGGCUAACACGUUUAAACACUGUAAACGAAUUCACUGAAGCAGGACAUUGGUCACCAGAGCGAAAAACGUAUUUAAAUGGUCAGGAAAAUCCAUUCUGCCUGAACCUCCUCCUUCCUGAAAGCAAUCGGAGCAUCACUGCAGUGGUAACCAGCAUUAUAGCUGGAUACGUCUGAAGAGCACAAAGCUAGGCUUUAGUGGAAAUGGCCUGUGAAAAGUUGCCCAGUCCCCAAUGAAUAUAACAGGUGGACACACAGGUUCAAUGUUCUAUCUGCGUUAUGGGUGCACAGACAAUGCUCUGCUGAGCCCCCUGGUGGACAGAGGAAGGUAUUGACUGAGGUUGGUCGACGAUGUCCCGCUCCUCGCUAAUUUCUGCAAAGCGCAGACCUUCCUCAAGACUCUGCAUGGAGCUACCCUGUCCCUGGGCCUUUGUCGUGAAGCAGUGCAGCUAAUGUGCUGUGGGUGCGUCCUGGACAUCAUGUGCUGUCAUAAGUGUCUCUACAAGUCCCUGCUCAGUGUAAGAGCCACCUGGUCAGGAGACUGGGAGGCCUAAAACUGGCCCUGGCCCAAUGUGUGUUCACAUCUGUAAUCAACCUCAUUACAUUGUUGAAUAACUACAUUUCCCAUAAUGCAUCUGAAGAUUAAUCCUUAACUAUUUCAUAAUAAAAAAUGUGUUAUUUAGCUGACACUUUUAUCUAAAGUGACUUACAGUUGAUUAGACUAAGCUGGGGCCAGCCCCCUCUGGAGCAAUGAGGCUGUGUGGAUCUCAUUGUGGCUACACCGGGGCUUGAACCACCAACCUUCCGGGUUCCAGUCAUGUAUUGUAGCCACUAGGCUACCGGCUGGCCUAUGAAAGAACCCUUUUUCCUUUAUGUACAGAAAUCCAACAGUCAUUCUGAAAGGAUCAUAUUCAAUGCUCUGUACUGUGGUCAAGGAUAGGUUUACAUUUCAUACACUUGCACCAUUUCAGCUGCCCGAUUCAACAGCUUUGAGUGUCUGUUUCCCAUGUACUUCUUUCUCCCAUGUUAUUAUAUUUGAUUAUAUAUAGUCUGGGGUUGUUGUCCACAGAAACCGUGUCAUAUGCGGAUAGUUAUGAAUGUGUUUACAUGAAGUAAAAGGUGUC
Molecule: long non-coding RNA, 1288 nt
Organism: Conger conger (European conger)
Lineage: Eukaryota; Metazoa; Chordata; Actinopteri; Anguilliformes; Congridae
Exons: 3
Source: RefSeq, a predicted model, not a curated record